ACCCAGGAGAUGAACAUAUGCCUGAGAAGAAGAACUAGUGUGGAACUGUCAGCCAGGUUUUUGAUGAGUGCUCAGACUGCUUCCUGAUCCGGCACCACAUUUACUAUAGUGGACAGAUGCUCUAGUCUCUGAGGAGGAGUUGCUAGCUGUUAGGAAAAACCUGGAAUGGGCUCCACUGCAUGAGAUUUUAGGUCUCCAGAGCAGCAAAGAGAGUGGGGAGUAGAACUCAUCAUCUUUAGGUCACUCAGCAUCGAUGGGUUGUUUGCAACCUUAGUAUACAGACAUGGAUGGUUGAACACAAACCUGUCAGGCUGAUAAAGAACUAGACAUCUACUAACGUCCUUGGAACCAUGUUCAGAUUGCUGCACAUCCUCCUGAAGAUGCCACAGAUGACAUGGUUCCUUGUGAUUGUUGUUCUCUUCUUGUUGUUGCUGUUUUCUUUUAACUUUUGAAGAGGAUACUUUAUUAGUCUUUUGCUAUGUUAGUCAUCUCCUGGCAUUAGAAACCAACAUCCCACUGUUUAAAUGUUUUACAUUUCCUACUCUUUUUGGAAAACACAAUGUAUGCGCAUCAUUUUUUCCUAUUGUUUCAAAGACAUAACACUAUGUAAUUCAACUUUACAAUUUUAAUCAUUUUGACCAAUAUUCACAUGAAUAUAAAUUUUAUGUGUAAUA
RNAcentral lists this long non-coding RNA (674 nucleotides) under Mus musculus (house mouse). RNAcentral describes it as "predicted gene, 37473". Lineage: Eukaryota; Metazoa; Chordata; Mammalia; Rodentia; Muridae. The record is from RNAcentral.